This is an RNA transcript of Fopius arisanus, 1933 nucleotides long. It is a transcript of the gene named testis-specific serine/threonine-protein kinase 1, with no coding region annotated. The transcript is spliced from 6 exons. NCBI's taxonomy places the organism in Eukaryota, Metazoa, Arthropoda, Insecta, Hymenoptera, Braconidae. The record is from RefSeq and is a predicted model, not a curated record.
UUAUUUUGUUUAAAAAUUGUGAACACGAAAUUAAAUAUAAAAAAUGAAAAAAUCUUGGUAUUUAUCUAUCAAUGUGAAUAUUCACGACGAUUUGAGCAUGAUCGGUAGUCAGAAUCGAUGGAUUCGUAUUAAAAAUUGAUUGGGAAUUAUUUAUGCAAUAAAUUAUGGGGGUGAGAAGGCUGUAAAUAAUAUUAAUUGGUUAAAAGCACAUGUCGCAGGUUGAACUCAAUCAAACUCCAUCCGAAGAACUGACAUUGCGAUCACGUGGGUAUAAAUUACUGCGAAAAUUAGGAGAGGGUUCAUUUGCAAAGGUGUUUCUGGCAGAGUACACCCCAGAGAAUGAACCCGAGCAGAUAAGUCCCCUAGCUUGUAAAAUCGUGGACACGUCCAAGGCACCCAAGGAUUUUGUUAAAAAAUUUCUACCACGAGAGCUGGAUAUCCUAGCGAAGUUAAAUCAUCCUCACGUCGUCCACGUGCACAGCAUAUUCCAGAGACGCUGCAGGUACUUCAUCUUCAUGAGAUUUGCGGAGAAUGGAGAUCUUCUCGAUUUCACGUUGAAGAAUGGAGCCGUCGACGAAGACCAAGCCCGCGUUUGGUUCAGACAAUUAGCUCUAGGACUCCAGUACCUCCAUGAGAUGGAGAUAGCUCACAGGGACAUCAAAUGCGAGAAUGUCCUUCUGACGGCCAACAAUAACGUCAAGUUAACUGAUUUUGGUUUUGCACGUUAUGUAAUUGAUCCGAGGGGUAAAAAAGUUCUGAGUGAUACAUUCUGCGGUUCCCUGAUGUACGCUGCACCGGAGAUUCUUCGUGGAGCUCCGUACAAUCCCAAAGCUGCUGACACGUGGUCCCUUGGGGUGAUCCUCUACAUAAUCCUCAACAAGGCCAUGCCCUUUGACGAGCCAAAUUUAAAAAAAUUGUACGAAAUCCAGAUGAAUCGCAAGUGGAAAUUUCGGAAAAAAGUUGCUGACAGUCUCAGUGAGCAAGUUAAGAAGCUGGUGAUGAAUCUGUUGGAGCCAGAAGUCGCGAAACGAUGGAGUGUUGAUCAGAUUAUUCACAGCAGCUGGAUUGCCAUGGAUCCCAGAUUAGUCGUUAUGACACCAGCUGAACAGGCAGCUCUCAACAAUGCCAUCGAGGAACGAAAGAAAAAUGAGGAGAAACUCAGAAAACAAUCGUUAUAUAGAGACGAUCAUCAUCCACAAAGAAGAGAGUCACGAGGUGAAGACUCCAAGGGCGAAGACGUCAAAGUUCUUGCAGAUUCUGGAAAAAAAACCCUGAGUACUUCCGCUAUUGAUAACAGAAAUCUUCCACGAGCUUCAGGUCUCAAUCGUCUGGGAAGUAUUAGCGAGUAAUUUCUGGAGUUUCUUGAAUUUCCUUUUUAAUUAUUUAUUCUUGUUCCUGCGAACACGUCAAUCGCUGGGGUAUACUCUCGUUGCCGGUUGGACUCAGAUAAUCAUCCAGGGUUUACUACAGCUUUUAAUUGCCCAGUUGGCAGUCCCAUGGAUCCUGUUAGAAAGUCUUCAAUUGGAAAUUGAACGAUGAAAACCUCAUGCCCUGAUUUAUUCUCCUAAUUUCCACAUCUUUUUAAAUAUUAAAGAUAAUUAACAGCACCUUGGAAUUGAGUAUGUACAAUAAUAAAUAUGAUUGUCAAGAGUGUACGAAUUAAUUUGCCUCGGAAAUAGUAGAUAAAUCUAUCAGUUCCAUUAAUUAUAUCACAUCCUGCCAGGCAUCACCGAAAGCUGACGCAUAUCGUCCCUACAGUUCCAAUAAUUCAAUCAAUUAAUUACUAAUUACUUAAAUAAUAAUGCGACUGAUGCUCUCGGAUGCUCCUUUCUAGUGAUAUGAGUUAUCGAAAUUAUUAAUCUGUCGUCUCCUUGUUCUAGUUAAUUUCAAUAUGGGAAAAUUGAUUAAAUCAGAGAAGAUAAUUGACUCGCGA